This 1736-nucleotide long non-coding RNA is filed under the name Homo sapiens (human). RNAcentral's name for it is "non-protein coding lnc-NMUR1-4:1". Lineage: Eukaryota; Metazoa; Chordata; Mammalia; Primates; Hominidae. The record is from RNAcentral.
UGGGGCUGGGGGUGCUCGGCCGGUCUUGCAGGCCCCGUCGGCCACCCGCGCCCUUGGUCCCGCCUCGGAGCCUCGGCCCCAGCUCCGGCCCCGACACGGGAGCUGCUCUUCCCUCGCGGAAGCGGUGCCGCCUGGCCCGCGGCAGCGCAGACGCCCUGCCUUGCCCUCAGGCUGGCCGGGCCGCCUGUGGCCGGAGAAAGCCCCAUUGUGGCCUGAGUGCGCCCCGCAGCCAGUCGGGAUUUCUCUCGCAGAGAGAGGCCUUUGUUCGCCUCACCCCAUCUGACUGCCCCGUGCUCUGUCCCAGCCUCAUUUGCUCCCCAAGCCCCAACCUGGGUUCCUGCUCUGGCAACAAGGAGCAGGUGGCAGCAAGGGGCGUUUUCGCGCCCCUCCCCCUAAUCACCCAGGAAAUCUCUGAGCUUGGCCACCUGCCCUGGGGGAGGAGACGCGAGGCCUGCGCACCCCACUCUGCUUCAUCCCUGGUUGCUCUCCCCACUCCUGUGGCCCCUCCGCCGGCGUUUGUGCUGUGUGACAUCCCUCUCCUCCACCGCUGCCUGGGGUUGGGGGCAGUCGGGGCAGUCAGGCCAGGCCAGGCCACCCCUGGGUGAAGAGGGCAUUGGGGCCAGAAGGGUCUGCACUGACCACCUCCAAGUUUCUGUUCUUAGGCUGUUCCCGCCGCAGCAGAAUAUAAAGUGCUGAAGCCAGAACCCAGACUGGGACGCAAGGCCCAGAACCUGCGCAGGGGCCACCGGCAAUCGGCCACCAUGCCCCUGCCCUGCUGUGCCUCGACUUACCCAUCUGCUGCUGGGGUAAUCCUAACCAUCUCUUACUGAGGGACCCUGAGUGCCUUGUUCAAGUUCAGUGUGGUGAGCCCAUUGGUGGGAGGUGUUUUUCCUCCCCAAAGACUGUAUUUUGAAAAGUACUAAUAAAAUACAGGAGGUGAGUAGCCAAGGCAGAAUUUUAGGUGAAUUCUAUUUCCUCAUUGUUUGACAUUUAAAAUUUAGAGAUGCAAAGGAAUAUAUUUGAAUCCAUGGGGUUGGGGGGAUGAGUACAGAAAGAUCUGAGUGCCUUGCUCUUUCCAAAGCACGUGUUUAAAGGAAGGUUCUGGUUGUGUGCAGGGCAUUCACAGGCAAGUUUGUGUGUUGUGGGAGGCAUACCCCGGGUCCCAGAACCUAGGUGUGGGCUCUGUGUGGCAUUAGGCAAACAUCGGACCCCAUCUGGAGUCCUGGCCUAUUUUUGUGGGAAAGGCAACUUUUAUCUGCUGGGGAACCUUCAGAUAUAGGAGGGAUGGGGGUUAGGACAGUGUCCCUUGCAGUGGGGGACUUAGGGGAGCCACAAGGGACAGGCUGCUUUGGGCCCCUCCUUCCCCUUUCUGGGAGCAGCCUGCUCUGACAGGAUCCAGGCUGGGCCAACCAGGGUCCUUCCCCCUAGGAUUGAUCAGAUCCAACAGGGGAAACCGAGACUUUUCCUCUCUGGUUUAUCAAGGAGCAGCCUGUGGGCCUGGAGUCUCCAGGAGCCACGGUCCCUGCAAGGAGCAGAAGCCUGGCGGAGAGAAAGAACCUCCAUGGGAGGUGGAGGACAAGUGAUGGGGACAGAGUACUGGCAGCAGGGAGUUCCUAUUCAGCAUCCUCAUAGCCAGUUCCUCUUAGCCCUUCCUUACCUCGCCCGUUAAUCCGGUUUGUGCCUAAGCUACUACAUGCUGGGUUUCUGUCACUUUCAAUUAAGAGGCUCCUCACCAA